UACGUAGGGGGCAAGCGUUUGUCCGGAAUCAUUGGGCGUAAAGAGCGUGUAGGCGGCCAGAUAAGUCCGCUGUGAAAACUCGAGGCUCAACUUCGAGCUGUCGGUGGAAACUAUUUGGCUAGAGUCCGGAAGAGGAGAGUGGAAUUCCUGGUGUAGCGGUGAAAUGCGCAGAUAUCAGGAAGAACACCCGUGGCGAAGGCGGCUCUCUGGUACGGAACUGACGCUGAGACGCGAAAGCGUGGGGAGCGAACAGG
Molecule: ribosomal RNA, 254 nt
Filed under: uncultured bacterium
Lineage: Bacteria
Description: partial 16S ribosomal RNA
Rfam family: Bacterial small subunit ribosomal RNA
Source: RNAcentral